This 253-nucleotide ribosomal RNA is filed under the name uncultured bacterium. Its description in RNAcentral is "partial 16S ribosomal RNA". It matches the Rfam family "Bacterial small subunit ribosomal RNA", at positions 524 to 776 of the family's 1533-position model. The record is from RNAcentral.
UACGAAGGGGGCUAGCGUUGCUCGGAAUCACUGGGCGUAAAGCGCACGUAGGCGGCUUUCUAAGUCAGGGGUGAAAUCCUGGAGCUCAACUCCAGAACUGCCUUCGAUACUGGGAAGCUCGAGUCCGGGAGAGGUGAGUGGAACUGCGAGUGUAGAGGUGAAAUUCGUAGAUAUUCGCAAGAACACCAGUGGCGAAGGCGGCUCACUGGCCCGGUACUGACGCUGAGGUGCGAAAGCGUGGGGAGCAAACAGG